AGCACCUAAAGUGCCUUUUCAUGCAAUUUCAGAUGGAAACUACUUGUUUGAGUAUUAUGCAAAUAAAAUGCAAUUCUGCUCAUUAAUCCACUACUGGAUCUGCAUUAGGAAGUAUGAGCUGAACUUUCAACAGUGAUGGGAUAAGGCUCGGUUUGGGCCUUCACUGCCCCAUAAAUAAGAGGUCAGGGCCAGAACAACAUUAAUACAUAUAAUCUUAUUUUUUCACUGCUGUUUAAUUCACAUUGGACAACUAACUCUAUAUCUAGAACCACUUUUAAAAAAAUGUAUUCAUU
Long non-coding RNA from Sphaeramia orbicularis (orbiculate cardinalfish), 293 nucleotides. RefSeq lists it as uncharacterized. Lineage: Eukaryota; Metazoa; Chordata; Actinopteri; Kurtiformes; Apogonidae. The record is from RefSeq and is a predicted model, not a curated record. The transcript has 3 exons.